AACGAACGCUGGCGGCAUGCCUAACACAUGCAAGUCGAACGAGACCUUCGGGUCUAGUGGCGCACGGGUGCGUAACGCGUGGGAACCUGCCCUUAGGUUCGGAAUAACUCCCCGAAAGGGGUGCUAAUACCGGAUAAUAUCUUCGGACCAAAGAUUUAUCGCCUUUGGAUGGGCCCGCGUUGGAUUAGCUAGUUGGUAGGGUAAAAGCCUACCAAGGCGACGAUCCAUAGCUGGUCUGAGAGGAUGAUCAGCCACACUGGGACUGAGACACGGCCCAGACUCCUACGGGAGGCAGCAGUGGGGAAUAUUGGACAAUGGGCGAAAGCCUGAUCCAGCAAUGCCGCGUGAGUGAUGAAGGCCUUAGGGUUGUAAAGCUCUUUUACCCGGGAUGAUAAUGACAGUACCGGGAGAAUAAGCUCCGACUAACUCCGUG
Molecule: ribosomal RNA, 433 nt
Filed under: uncultured bacterium
Lineage: Bacteria
Description: partial 16S ribosomal RNA
Rfam family: Bacterial small subunit ribosomal RNA
Source: RNAcentral